This 464-nucleotide ribosomal RNA is filed under the name uncultured bacterium. Its description in RNAcentral is "partial 16S ribosomal RNA". It matches the Rfam family "Bacterial small subunit ribosomal RNA", at positions 339 to 795 of the family's 1533-position model. The record is from RNAcentral.
CUACGGGACGCAGCAGUGAGGAAUUUUGCGCAAUAGGGGAAACCCUGACGCAGCAACGCCGCGUGAGUGAAGAAGGCUUACGGGUCGUAAAGCUCUGUCAGAUAGGAAAAAAGUUCAUAUGUAAAUAGCUUAUGAAUCUGAUGGUACUAUCAGAGGAAGCACCGGCUAACUCCGUGCCAGCAGCCGCGGUAAUACGGAGGGUGCAAGCGUUGUUCGGAAUUACUGGGCGUAAAGGGCGUGUAGGCGGUAUGGUAAGUCAGAUGUGAAAGCCUUGGGCUUAACUCAGGAAGUGCAUUUGAUACUGCCAUCCUUGAGUAUGGGAGAGGAGAGUAGAAUUCCCAGUGUAGAGGUGAAAUUCGUAGAUAUUGGGAGGAAUACCCGUGGCGAAGGCGACUCUCUGGACCAAUACUGACGCUGAGACGCGAAAGCGUGGGGAGCAAACAGGAUUAGAUACCCCGGUAGUC